RNAcentral lists this transfer RNA (124 nucleotides) under Xylaria grammica. It matches the Rfam family "tRNA". Rfam says of the family: Transfer RNA (tRNA) molecules are approximately 80 nucleotides in length. Their secondary structure includes four short double-helical elements and three loops (D, anti-codon, and T loops). Further hydrogen bonds mediate the characteristic L-shaped molecular structure. tRNAs have two regions of fundamental functional importance: the anti-codon, which is responsible for specific mRNA codon recognition, and the 3' end, to which the tRNAs corresponding amino acid is attached (by aminoacyl-tRNA synthetases). tRNAs cope with the degeneracy of the genetic code in two manners: having more than one tRNA (with a specific anti-codon) for a particular amino acid; and 'wobble' base-pairing, i.e. permitting non-standard base-pairing at the 3rd anti-codon position. RNAcentral also lists the same sequence under 1 other name. The record is from Rfam by way of RNAcentral. Lineage: Eukaryota; Fungi; Ascomycota; Sordariomycetes; Xylariales; Xylariaceae.
UCUCGAUUGGUCUAGUGGUCAGGAUACCUGCUUGUCAUCGGAGUUCUGUCUAGUGUCCCCCAUGGUGGAGACUAGGUCGAGAUACAAGCCGCAGGUGGCCGGGGUUCGAUUCCCCGAUCGAGAG